This 465-nucleotide ribosomal RNA is filed under the name uncultured bacterium. RNAcentral describes it as "partial 16S ribosomal RNA". It matches the Rfam family "Bacterial small subunit ribosomal RNA", at positions 28 to 507 of the family's 1533-position model. The record is from RNAcentral.
GACGAACGCUGGCGGCGUGCUUAACACAUGCAAGUCGAACGGAAAGGCCCCUUUGGGGGUACUCGAGUGGCGAACGGGUGAGUAACACGUGAGUAACCUGCCCUUGACUUCGGGAUAACUUCAGGAAACUGGGGCUAAUACCGGAUAGGAAUCCUUGCUGCAUGGUGGGGGUUGGAAAGCUUCGGCGGUUUUGGAUGGACUCGCGGCUUAUCAGCUUGUUGGUGGGGUAGUGGCUUACCAAGGCUUUGACGGGUAGCCGGCCUGAGAGGGCGACCGGCCACAUUGGGACUGAGAUACGGCCCAGACUCCUACGGGAGGCAGCAGUGGGGAAGAUUGCACAAUGGGCGGAAGCCUGACGCAGCAACGCCGCGGGCGGGAUGACGGCCUUCGGGUUGUAAACCGCUUUCAGCAGGGGCGAAGCUUGUGGUGACGGUACCUGCAGAAGAAGCACCGGCUAACUACGUG